CUUCCCUGAGUACUUGGAGCCAGGAAAGAAGCAUGAAGUGGCUUGUGCUCUUUGAGCUGGUGGCCUUCUCAGAUUGCAGAGUCAUAAGACCUCUAAUGAAAGUGAAGACCAUGAGAAAUACCCUCAGUUUAAAAAACGUGCUGAACAAUUUCCUGAAGGAACAUGCUUACAGACUGUCUCAGAUUUCUUCUCGUGGCUCAAAUAUAACUAUUCCCCUGCUGAGGAACAUCAUGGAAGUGAUAUAUUUGGGUAACAUCACGAUUGAAACACCCCCUCAGGAAUUCCAGGUUAUCUUUGACACAGAUUCAUCUGACUUGUGGGUACCCUCCCUCUUUUGCACCAGCACAGCCUAUU
Molecule: non-coding RNA, 354 nt
Organism: Odocoileus virginianus texanus
Lineage: Eukaryota; Metazoa; Chordata; Mammalia; Artiodactyla; Cervidae
Source: RefSeq, a predicted model, not a curated record